AACGAACGCUGGCGGCAUGCUUAACACAUGCAAGUCGAACGCUUGUCGGGCUUCGGUUCGGCGAGAGUGGCGCACGGGUGAGUAGCGCGUGGGAACCUGCCUUGGAGUGGGGGAUAACCGAGGGAAACUUCGGCUAAUACCGCAUGAUCCGGCUGUCUUGAGAGAGGUGGCCGGCAAAGAUUUAUCGCUCUGAGAGGGGCCCGCGUCGGAUUAGCUAGUUGGUGGGGUAACGGCCCACCAAGGCUUUGAUCCGUAGCUGGUCUGAGAGGA
This 270-nucleotide ribosomal RNA is filed under the name uncultured bacterium. RNAcentral's name for it is "partial 16S ribosomal RNA". It matches the Rfam family "Bacterial small subunit ribosomal RNA", at positions 29 to 300 of the family's 1533-position model. The record is from RNAcentral.